GCGGGCAUGGUGGCACGCGCCUGUAGUCCCAGCUACUCGGGAGGCUGAGGUGGGAGGAUCACUUGAGUCCAGGAGUUCUGGGCUGCAGUGCGCUAUGCCGAUUGGGUGUCCGCACUAAGUUCGGCAUCAAUAUGGUGACCUCCCGGGAGCGGGGGACCACCAGGUUGCCUAAGGAGGAGUGAACCGGCCCAGGUCGGAAACGGAGCAGGUCAAAAAACGCAACCGUGUUACAGCCUUGAAUCAGGGCAGCAUUGUCUAACACAGUAAGACUUGU
Molecule: signal recognition particle RNA, 274 nt
Filed under: Octodon degus (degu)
Lineage: Eukaryota; Metazoa; Chordata; Mammalia; Rodentia; Octodontidae
Description: Metazoan signal recognition particle RNA (ENSODEG00000025873.1)
Rfam family: Metazoan signal recognition particle RNA
About the family: The signal recognition particle (SRP) is a universally conserved ribonucleoprotein. It is involved in the co-translational targeting of proteins to membranes.
Source: RNAcentral